GGGGGGGGGGGGGGGGGGGGGGAGGGGAGGCGGGGCGGGGGGGCGGGGGGGGGGCUUGCGUCGCGGGGGUUAGCGGCGGGCGGGUGGGUAACACGUGGAGAGCCUACCUAUAAGACUGGGAUAACUUCGGGAAACCGGAGCUAAUACCGGAUGAUAUUUUGCACCGCAUGGUUCAAAAGUGAAAGACGGUCUUGCUGUCACUUAUAGAUGGAUCCGCGCUGCAUUAGCUAGUUGGUAAGGUAACGGCUUACCAAGGCAACGAUGCAUAGCCGACCUGAGAGGGUGAUCGGCCACACUGGAACUGAGACACGGUCCAGACGCCUACGGGAGGCAGCAGUAGGGAAUCUUCCGCAAUGGGCGAAAGCCUGACGGAGCAACGCCGCGUGAGUGAUGAAGGUCUUCGGAUCGUAAAACUCUGUUAUUAGGGAAGAACAUAUGUGUAAGUAACUGUGCACAUCUUGACGGUACCUAAUCAGAAAGCCACGGCUAACUACGUG
This 497-nucleotide ribosomal RNA is filed under the name uncultured bacterium. RNAcentral's name for it is "partial 16S ribosomal RNA". It matches the Rfam family "Bacterial small subunit ribosomal RNA", at positions 38 to 507 of the family's 1533-position model. The record is from RNAcentral.